Molecule: ribosomal RNA, 273 nt
Filed under: uncultured bacterium
Lineage: Bacteria
Description: partial 16S ribosomal RNA
Rfam family: Bacterial small subunit ribosomal RNA
Source: RNAcentral
UACGAAGGGUGCAAGCGUUACUCGGAAUUACUGGGCGUAAAGCGUGCGUAGGCGGUCUGUUGUGUCGGAUGUGAAAGCCCUGGGCUCAACCUGGGAAUUGCAUUCGAAACUGGCAGGCUAGAGUUCGAUAGAGGGUCGCGGAAUUCCCGGUGUAGCGGUGAAAUGCGUAGAGAUCGGGAGGAACAUCAGUGGCGAAGGCGGCGACCUGGAUCAGAACUGACGCUGAGGCACGAAAGCGUGGGGAGCAAACAGGAUUAGAAACCCCCGUAGUCC